AGUGUGCCCUUUCCUUCUUGACUUUUUAGCAGUUCUGGGUAAAUAUUGAUUUGCCCCCAGUUUACCUUCUCCCUGACUGGUCAUUUGCAGACUCAGGAACUAGCUUCUGUAGGGACUUGCCUUUUCUGUUACUUUCUGGCCCUUUCACCACCCCCUCUUCCUCCCUCCAAGUGGCAUUGUAAAACUCACAGUGACAAAGAGACAGAGUAGGGUUCGAGGCCCCUGUUCCUGGGGACUUGAAGGCGGUUUUACAUACGGGUCAGACACGGCUGGAGGCCAAGGUCAAGUUGAAAGUUGCAGUCUAGCCAGCAUGAGAACUGCCAUGCAAGCGUGGAGACCCAGGCAGCAGCAAAAGGCCCAUUGCCCGCAUGCCCUCA
Unclassified non-coding RNA from Piliocolobus tephrosceles (Ugandan red Colobus), 377 nucleotides. NCBI's taxonomy places the organism in Eukaryota, Metazoa, Chordata, Mammalia, Primates, Cercopithecidae. The record is from Ensembl.